GGUCACAUUGAAACACCGGUCCCCUUAAGAUCACCGAAGUUAAGCAACGUUGAGCCUGGUCAGAACCUAGAUAGGUGGACGUUUAGGAAUACUAGCUGCUGUAAU
This is a non-coding RNA of Acanthosepion pharaonis, 105 nucleotides long. Lineage: Eukaryota; Metazoa; Mollusca; Cephalopoda; Sepiida; Sepiidae. The record is from the annotation of a GenBank genome assembly.